Molecule: ribosomal RNA, 478 nt
Filed under: uncultured bacterium
Lineage: Bacteria
Description: partial 16S ribosomal RNA
Rfam family: Bacterial small subunit ribosomal RNA
Source: RNAcentral
GACGAACGCUGGCGGCGUGCCUAACACAUGCCAGUCGAACGGGCAUUCGUAAACAGCAGCCUCGGUGGGAGAUCACUAAUGAGAGUGGCGAACGGGUGAGUAACGCGUGAGCAACCUGCCUUUGACAGUGGGAUAGCCUCCGGAUACCGGGAUUAAUACUGCAUCAAAUCGUUGAAACACAUGUUUUAACGGUCAUAGAUUUAUUGGACAUAGUGGCGCUCGCGUCUGAUUUGCUUGUUGGUGAGAGAACCGACCACCAAGGCGACGAUCGGUAGCCGGGAUGAGAGAAAGGACCGACACAUUGGAGCUGGGACGCAGUCCAGACUCCUACGGGAGGCAGCAGUGGGGGAUAUUGCAAAGUGGGGGGAAUGAUGAUGCAGCGACGCCGCGUGAACGAAGAAGGUAUUCGUAUCGUAAAGUUCUGUCAUAUAUGAAGAUAAUGACGGUACCAAAGAAGAAAGCGCCGGCUAAAUACGUG